RNAcentral lists this ribosomal RNA (205 nucleotides) under uncultured bacterium. RNAcentral describes it as "partial 16S ribosomal RNA". It matches the Rfam family "Bacterial small subunit ribosomal RNA", at positions 524 to 728 of the family's 1533-position model. The record is from RNAcentral.
UACGUAGGGUGCGAGCGUUGUCCGGAAUUAUUGGGCGUAAAGGGCUCGUAGGCGGUUUGUCGCGUCGGGAGUGAAAUCCACUGGCUUAACUGGUGGCUUGCUUUCGAUACGGGCAGACUGGAGGUAUGCAGGGGAGAACGGAAUUCCUGGUGUAGCGGUGAAAUGCGCAGAUAUCAGGAGGAACACCGGUGGCGAAGGCGGUUCU